AUGUUCGAAGCCAGGAAUGAGAAAGCCAGUGAUUUUGUUGAUGCAAGUACAUCUCUGCCUGUUAAGCUUGAGGCCAGCUGCGUUGCGGUACUGGUACACCCCAUUGUCGAGGUGUUGAAGGCUGAAGAGCAGCCAUUGCACUCCACCAAUGAGGAGACAUCCGUUGACCUCGAGGCCAAGAACAAUGAUGCAUCCUUCAUUACAGAGGUGAUGACGAAGGAGGAAGAGCAGCUAUAUGAGGCUCGGCUUAAGGUAGAGGAAGAAGAGGCUAGAAAGAGAGAACAAGCGGCAAGACUUGCUUUAGAUCCUAAUGCAUGCUUUAGCAAGUUGGAUGAGCUGCUGACAGAGACACAGCUUUAUUCAGAAUUUCUACUUGAAAAGAUGGCGCAAAUAACAGAUGUUAAGCAGAAUUUUCUUGAAGUUAAAGAUGAAGAGGGGUCUGUGGAAGACAAGAAGAAAGGAUGUGGCAGAAAGAGGAAAGUAAAUUCUAAGCCACAAUACAAUGAUAAGAAGGCUAAGACAGCAGUGGCUGCAAUGCUCACAAGAUCGCGCGAAGAUCGUUCUGCUUAUGAUGACACUCUCACAGAAGAAGAAAGAUGGGAAAAAGAGCAAGCCAACCUUGUACCAUUAAUGACUGGUGGACAGUUGAAAUCUUACCAGAUAAAGGGUGUGAAGGGGCUAAUAUCACUGUGGCAGAAUGGGCUAAAUGGGAUACUAGCUGAUCAAAUGGGCCUUGGGAAAACAAUCCAGACAAUUGGAUUUCUUACCCAUCUUAAAGGGAAUGGUAUGCACGGUCCUUACAUGAUAAUUGCUCCUCUUUCCACCCUCUCAAACUGGGUGAAUGAAAUCUCAAGGUUUGUUCCAUCUCUUACUGGGCUGAUUUACCAUGGGGAUAAAGUGGCUCGGCAGAGAUAAGGAGAAAAUUCAGGCCCAAAACUGUUGGCCCUGAUUUCCCGAUAAUAAUUACUUCAUAUGAGAUGGCCAUGUCAGAUGCAAAAUAUCUUGCUCGUUAUAAGUGGAAAUAUGUUGUUGUGGAUGAGGGACAUCGGUUGAAAAAUUCUAAAUGUAAAUUAUUGAGAAAGUUAAAGCGCAUACCAAUGGCCAAUAAACUCCUUUUGACUGGGACACCUCUUCAGAAUAACCUGGCAGAGUUGUGGUCAUUGUUGAAUUUCAUUUUGCCUGAUAUAUUCUCGUCCCAUCAGGAAUUUGAGUCAUGGUUUGAUUUUUCUGGGAAAGGAGACGAGGAGCAGCAGGAAGAAGCUGAUGAGAAGAAAAGAGUUCUUGUUAUUUCAAAGCUUCAUGCCAUUUUGUGUCCAUUCCUUUUAAGACGGAUGAAGAUGGAUGUGGAGCAGAUGCUUCCACGGAAGAAAGAGAUAAUCAUUUAUGCUAACAUGACUGCACAUCAGAAGCAAAUCCAGACUCACUUGAUUGAAAAAACAUUUGACAACUACUUGCUUGAGAGCACAGACAUAGUGUUGCGGAGACCUGGCCUGAAGAUGAAGCUAAAUAACCUAAUGAUUCAGCUGAGGAAGAACUGUGCCCAUCCUGAUCUUUUCAAUGCUGCAUUUGACUCAACAAGCCUUUAUCCACCUACCGAUAAGCUUCUGGAACAAUGUGGUAAAUUUCAGCUGUUGGACAGGUUACUGGAAUCCCUACUCAAACAAAAGCACAAGGUUCUAAUAUUUUCACAGUGGACAAAAGUUUUGGAUAUAAUUGAAUAUUAUUUGUAUAUGAAAGGCCUGAAUAUUUGCCGAAUUGAUGGUAGUGUUAAAUUGGAAGACAGGAUGAGACAGAUAGCAGAGUUUAAUGACUUGAACAGCAGUAUGAAUGUCUUUAUUCUAAGCACACGUGCUGGUGGGCUUGGCAUCAAUCUUGCUUCUGCUGAUACAUGUAUCCUGUAUGACAGUGACUGGAAUCCUCAGAUGGAUUUGCAGGCCAUGGAUCGAUGCCACCGGAUUGGUCAAACACGCCCAUUGCAUGUUUAUCGGUUGGCAACAGCCAACUCUGUUGAGGGACGUAUUAUCAAGAGAGCUUUUGGAAAGCUGAAGCUGGAGCACGUUGUGAUUGGGAAGGGACAGUUUGAACAGAAUAGCGCGAAGCCUAACGUCUUAGAUGAGGAGGAGCUGCUUGCGCUGCUGAGGGACGAGCAGGACGAGGAAGACAGGAUGAUCCAGACCGACAUCAGCGACGAGGACCUUCUGAAGGUGAUGGACCGGAGCGACCUCACCGGCCCGCCUGCCGCCGCCGAUGCCACCCCUCUUAUCCCCCUGAAAGGGCCUGGCUGGGAGGUCGUGAUGGCCUCCAAGAGCGGUGGCGGCGUGCUCUCGGCGCUCACCAGCUGAGCCCUGCCCCGGCCUAGCAGUGACGGCGCCCUCGGCAUUUCGGGUGAUUCGGCUUGGUCACCGCUAACUAGCUGAUGUUUGGCGAAACACUAUCCGCCGAAGUAAUUAUUGACCUCAUGGCAUAUGUGAUACAGGAUGUGGUAACCUAUCUCGAAAAGAAUCCAAAAGUAAGUAAUUAUUGACUGGGCGUUGCACCCGUAGAUUAGGUGCUCUAAGUAACUUGAGCUCGCACCUUCUUCCCCAUUUGCUUUGGGUCAGCAUUCAGCAGGCUAUGUAAGACUGUUAUGGUAGUCUAUGCUGAAGGAGGUUGGAAGUGUGCUGCCAGAACUCUGCCAUAUAACAGUCUCGUAAUAGGAGAAAAUAAUUACCGCGGUAAGCGUAC
RNAcentral lists this ribosomal RNA (2724 nucleotides) under Triticum aestivum (bread wheat). RNAcentral describes it as "partial small subunit ribosomal RNA". Lineage: Eukaryota; Viridiplantae; Streptophyta; Magnoliopsida; Poales; Poaceae. The record is from RNAcentral.